RNAcentral lists this ribosomal RNA (511 nucleotides) under uncultured bacterium. RNAcentral describes it as "bacterial SSU rRNA". It matches the Rfam family "Bacterial small subunit ribosomal RNA", at positions 791 to 1301 of the family's 1533-position model. The record is from RNAcentral.
UAGUCCACGCCGUAAACGAUGGAUACUAGGUGUUCGGAGUGUUAACCCUCUGAGUACCGGAGCUAACGCAUUAAGUAUCCCGCCUGGGGAGUACGGUCGCAAGGCUAAAACUCAAAGGAAUUGACGGGGGCCCGCACAAGCGGUGGAGUAUGUGGUUUAAUUCGAAGCAACGCGAAGAACCUUACCUGGGCUUAACAUUCAGUGCCAGCUCUAGAGAUAGAGUUUUCUCUUCGGAGACGCUGGGAUAGGUGCUGCAUGGUUGUCGUCAGCUCGUGCCGUGAGGUGUCAGGUUAAGUCCUAUAACGAGCGCAACCCCUGUUGUUAGUUGCCAGCAUGUAAAGAUGGGAACUCUAACAAGACUGCCGGUGCAAACCGAGAGGAAGGUGGGGAUGACGUCAAAUCAUCACGGCCCUUACGUCCUGGGCUACACACGUGCUACAAUGGUAGGGACAGAGAGCAGCCACUGCGCGAGCAGGAGCGAAUCUAUAAACCCUAUCACAGUUCGGAUCGG